RNAcentral lists this transfer RNA (73 nucleotides) under Dermacentor andersoni. Its description in RNAcentral is "transfer RNA threonine (anticodon UGU)". It matches the Rfam family "tRNA". From Rfam's summary of the family: Transfer RNA (tRNA) molecules are approximately 80 nucleotides in length. Their secondary structure includes four short double-helical elements and three loops (D, anti-codon, and T loops). Lineage: Eukaryota; Metazoa; Arthropoda; Arachnida; Ixodida; Ixodidae. The record is from RNAcentral.
GCCGCGGUAGCUCAAUUGGUUAGAGCAUCGCACGUGUAAUGCGAAGAUGUGGGAUCGCUCCCCACCUGCGGCA